Molecule: long non-coding RNA, 10157 nt
Organism: Canis lupus familiaris (dog)
Lineage: Eukaryota; Metazoa; Chordata; Mammalia; Carnivora; Canidae
Exons: 5
Source: RefSeq, a predicted model, not a curated record
AAAGCUUGUCUUUGAAUACAACUACUAGCAGCACUGGAAACAGAAUCCAGCUCUUCUGGCUUCUGGUCUAGAAGUUUCAUCACCACAAAGAAGUAAAGUGCCUCCAUGGCCACGACCCCAAGGAACUUCAGAGGAAGCAUUUGCAAAGGCCAUUUUGGACGUGCUUGAGACUGCUCUGCUUGUCCCCAAGACCUCAAUUUGCUGCCUGAGCAACUGUGAGCAUAAGAGUGCCUGUGUCAGCAACCCCACCUUCCCCCUCAUGGGACAUCACCAUCUGCUACCUCCCUGCCAGGCUUCCCACUCUUCUACAUGACCUCAAUCAAGGCUUCAGGAGAAUUAGAAGUGGUUCCUGUUAAGAGUCUGGAGGCCUCUGGACGCCGCCACCACGAGCAGCAGCACAUAUACUGGAGAAAGCUACGGUGACCUGGUUCUGAGCGGGCACUCUGCUGCUCACCAGCUUUGUCACAUCUGGCAAGUCACAUAGCAUCUCAGAGUCACAGUUCUUUCUCUUCCUUCUAAAUAACAUCUGUUUCCCAUCUUAAAGGACUGUUGUGAACAAAUAAUAUAUUUAUGGGAAAGCACUUUUUAAUUGAUAAACCAUAAUUAUCUUACAUGAGCCCCAGGCAUCACCAUAAAUAAAUGAAGUAGGGCAGGAAGAAGAAAAACAGGGUAGCAACGUAGUCUACAGUGAAUGACUCUGGGUUUGGGGAGAACAGGAGCAGGAGAGACCAUGCAAAGUGGAGCGCCCAGGAUCUAAUGCUAAGUGACCACUGCCCCUGUGUAAUCAGAGCUGCUGGUUUCCUCAGACACCAGGGAGCUUCACUGUGCAUACAUGAAAACACCCAGGGUAUUUAAAGGUUAGCAACUAAUUCACAACUUUAAAAGCCAGAGAGACCAUUCCUGAAAGGCCAAACAAAACAUGUCCGAGGGCAAAUUUGGCCCUGAGGUGCCCAUGUGUGACGUGUGAUGUACACACACAUCCAUGUGAUGUUCUGUUGUUCAGGAUACACAGGGCUAAGAUCUGCCGCCAUUUCUUCUUAGUGUCCCUCCCCAAGACUUCCCUAUGGCUGCUGACACAGCUGUGUCCUCACAGUGCUAAGAUUUUUCCGAGAGUUCUUCAUGUACCUUCAUGUGUGGACACUGUAAAUAACUCUUCUCAUGAAAAGUUAACUAGGCCUUGAACCAAUCCAACAGGGUCACCAUCUGGUAGUCCUCAGGAACAGUGAACUGUCAGCACUGUAAACAUUUUAGACUUCAUGCAAGACACUGACUUUUUCUAAACUAAUCAUCCCUGCCAGUCAAGAUUUGCAGUAUGGGUUCAGGAACAAGGCAUUCAUUUAACAACAAUAACAAGAAUACUGAGGAUGAAGACCGGGCGGUCAUCAUAAUGAAAGGUCUAAAAGCAAACUGUGACUUCCCUAAUAAGGCGACGACCAAAGUUAGCUCUCUGGCUGUGGAGCACCAAUACAAUUAAUCAGUCUGUUUUCAGUUUUCUCACGACAGCAAUAUUAACAGUUUGCUUUAUUCUGUUUAUAUGGUGCUGACAGGUCUUCAGCAUGUUGGGCCUACUUGCUGGAGAUUAAUGGCUACUCCUAUAUGGAGGUAAAAACCAGGCAAAGAGAGAACGCCUUUCACAACUAGAUAAGAACUGGCUUCUCUUGCUCUCCUUUUGUUCCCCUCUAUUAAUUUCUAUCAGGGUUAUGUAAGAUUAGUUGUGUAUAGUAGGUUUCUCUUAAGUUUAAAUUCUACUUUAAAAUGAAUGCUCUGUCCCCAAGUGACACAGAAACAAAGGGAACUUUAAAUAUUACUUCUGGUUGAUGAAGAGAUGCUAAGUUUAUCAUCUCUCUUAUCAAGGGUGCAGCUGGCUAAUUUUGUUUUUAAAAUGUCAGACUCCUUAUAAAGGUAAAAGGUAAGAGAGGGCUUCUGGUGACAGGAAUCUGAGUAUAUUCGGUGAGUAAUGGCUCCUCUUUGCACCUAUGGUUAUGUAGUGCACACUGUAAGAAGGCAGAAAUGAUAUUAAGUAUGGCCUGCUGCAAGAAGUACAGGCAUCCCAAAAAUCUCAGACCUAUUGUACUAAAUGGUCUUAUUUCAAAUCUUUUUAUUUUGAAAUAACUCCAGACCAGCCCCCUGUAAGAACUGCUGGACACUGGUAUACUUUUCUCUGUGCCAGGGUGGGAAGACAUGGUAAACCCAAAUGCUAUUUUAAUAGCAUCUAAGUAUAGAGAAACUAAGAUAGCAAAUUAAAAAAAAAAAAAAAUCAACCUGUCUCCUCUAGGGUUCUGUAGGAAUCUCAUUCUUUGGUCUUAGGGAACCUGCUGCUGUACUCAUUUUUAUGCAACAACUGCAUGAAUAAGUAUGCGUUGUAUACACAGGAACCUCAGGUCCUAUGGCCAGGAUGAGCUCUCCAGCCCACUUCCUCUGGCUCACUCCUCUCCUGACAUAGGAGAAGGGAACUGGUUCCAGUAGAUAGGGCAUCAGGGGUGGCUUUUAAGUGGAAAUUUUGGGUUUUUAAAAAGAUUUUAUGUAUUUAUUCAUUAGAGACACAGAGGCAGAGACAGAGUGAGAAGCGGGCUCCAUGCAGGGAGCCUGAUGCUGGACUUGAUCCUGGGACUAGGGUACCAUGCCCUGAACCAAAGGCAGAUGCUCAAUCACUGGCCACCCACGCAUCCCUUAAGUGGAAACUUCUAACAAAGAUUUUCAAAGCCAGAGAUAAAUAAGAACAUUCUAGAUAGUAAAACAGUAUUAAUAAUGGUAUUUAUUGAGGGCUUACUAUGUAUAAGCACUACUGUUUAAGCACUUUAGUUGUAAAAAACCAAUUUAAUUCCCACAUUAAAGAAAGUUAAAUCAUGUUUCAAGUACAAGAUAUUUGACAGUAGACCAACAUACUGGACUAGAUUUGCAAAGAUCUUGAAUUCCAAAUUGUACUUAAAUAAUUUGCCUGAUGAAGGUUCAUGAGAGAGGGAAGAAACUGAUGUGAGGCUAGCUAGUCUGAAGGAUAGUGCAAUAGUCUUGAGACUCCAAGCCAGGGUGGUACAUUUAAAGUGAAAAGGAGAAGAAAGAUUUGAGACUUAUCUCUAAAACAUAACCAAUUAAAAUUUUUUGACUGCUUUGAUUUUUUAGUUCCAUUAUUCAUUCAAUAUUCAAUUAUUUUUGAGUUUCAGAUGGGUCAGGCAUUGUACUAAAGGAUAUCUAAAAAAAAAUAAAGUCUGAAGAUCAACUCCUUCCUCAAAAUUGGGCUAUUAGCCAUCAUUCAGUGGUCUAAAGUGACACCACAGUAGACAUCCAUCCAUUCCUCCCUCCUUCCUUUCAUUCAAAACUUACUGAGUGCCUACCUGUGCCAGGAAUGUGUUACAUAAUGGUCAUGAACAAGUGAGGGAAAAAAAUGAAAAAAAGACUGCUCUCUUCAUUUUCAUAGCCCUGGGAGUGCCUUCUUUCUGGAACUUCCAUUCCUUUUCUGGCCAUAGAUGCAGGAUAUGAUGAUAAACCACCAGACUACAGCACAGGUAUUCUUAGUCAUCCAAAUGAAGAGCAGAUCUAUUCAAUUUCUAAAUGUAUGCCCUGGCAUAUUUAUCCAAAGCAAAACACUGUAUCAGAAAGGUAUCUAGGGGCACCCGGGUGGCUCAGACAGCUAAGUGUCUGCCUUCAGCUCAGGUUGUGAUCUCAGGGUCCUGGGAUUGAGCCCCCUGGUGAGCUCCCUGCUCAGCAAGGCCCCUGCUUCUCCCUCUCUUUCUGCCUUUCCACCCUGCUCAGGCUUACUUACUUGCUCUCAAAUGAAUAAAAAAACAAAAAACAAAAAAAAAAACCUUCAAAAAACAGUAUCUAACAUGAUUCCUAAGUGUAGAUUUUAAUAUUCUCUAGAAGGAUAGGCACAGGAAAAACUAGCUCUGAGCAAAGCCAAAAGUGUGAAUAGAACAAAUAUACUUUGAACAGUAUCUCAGGGUACCUGGGUAGCUCAGUGAAUGAGCAUCUGCCUUUGGGUCAGGUCCAGAUCCCAGGGCCCUGGGAUCAAGUCCUGCAUCAGGCUCCUUCUCCCUCUGCCUCUCUGUGUUUCUCAUGAAUAAAUAAAUAAAACUCUUAAAAAAAAUAAAAAUAAAAACCUUGUAUCUAGUUCAGUUGGUAAAUUAGAGACACAUAAUCUUACUGCCUUUCAGGGAAAGCCCUGAUCUUUUAAAAUUAAGAUUUGCCUAGAUUUUAUAAGAAUAAAUCCUGACCAUUUCCUAGUGCUUUUUGAAAAACAACUAGGUAAUAGAAUGACUACCGCUGAGAAGUAUUUUGCUUCGUGGCAGCUGCCUUUUCAUUACUAUUUUAUGAGAGCUUGUCUAGAUAUUAUGUAUUCCUCACUAUCUACGUUUAGUUCUUUUUAAAAUGUCUUCUUCAGAUGCCUGGGAUUAUGUCAGUAUCUUUCUAACCAGAUCCCAAAUAACAAACUAUAUCAUUUUAAUACUUUCCAAAGGUUCUUUUGCAUGUAGGCUCACCUCCAGAAACCAUGACUAAGGUGUGCUUUUGGUCAUUUCUAUUAAAAUAUUAAAAGGUAUUUUUAGGGACCAAUGAACACCAUCAACAAUUAUUUCAAGUAUAAGAUAGUUGGUACAUGCCAAGGGUGAGACUUGAAAUGCCAAUAAAAUCUAACUGUAAAAGAAGGAAUUUGAUGAGAGCAGGCAUAUUUUAACUUCAGUUUUAUUUUGAGGAUCUGGACCUGGUAUGGACUUGUGUGUUCUAUGAAUUCUGAGAUAACUAAGCUAUGGAAGAAGAGCCUGCACAGAUGGGGACAUUUAAAGCAGAAUCCUGGGCCUGUGCAUCUUAGUCCCAGCCCCCACCGCCUGCAUCACUUACCACAACCAUCUCCGUAUGGAAAAGAGGAAUUUGGAGGAAGCAAGUCAAAGACGAGCCCAAAGGAAGAGCCACAGGACUUGGGCAGUCCACAUGGGGAAGGCCAGGGAGGUCAUCUGACGACUUUCUCAGUGGGAGAGGAAAGCCAAGUGGAGCUGCUUGCCCCCUGUGACCUACCUGCGGCGCAGAUCCUCGGCCACAGCGGCCCGGCAGCUGAACAGGUAGGCUCGCAGGGACUUCAGCCGCUGCCGCAGCCGCACCACAGUGGCCAGCGGCUCAGCGUGCAGGUACAGCAUGGGGUUCUCCCGUUGGAUGUCGAUCAGGGGCUCUUCAUACACGUACUCCAGGAACUCUUUGGCCUGCUUAGAUACCUAGGAGAUAAACCUCCUCAGUCAGUCUGGAGAAUCAUCUGGCUUGCCAUACCUCUUCCAACUAGGACCCAGAGUUUAAGUACCAAAGUCACAUUUCUGAACAAGCCAAGAGAAAAAGCCCAUAAUUUAACUAAAUAUAAAUGUUGGUUUUGCUUUCUCUCUUCCGGAAACUUGUAAAAGUAACCUUGGCAUGGAAAGAAAUUAAUUCUGUAUCCUGAUUAUGGUGAUGAUUACAUGAAUCUACAUGUGCUAAAAUGACACAGAACUAUACAGACCCAGGAUACUCAAGUCCACUUCUGUUUUUUUGAUGUUAGUGAUCUAAGACGUAACCAAUGGGAGAAACUGGGUGAAAGGUACAUGGGACCUCUCUUUACUAUCCAUGCAUCUUCAUGUGAAUCUACAAUCUCAAAACUUAACACUACUGAUAAGUCUUAAUUUUUUUUUUAUUUUAAAAACCACAUUCAUGUAUAUUUACCGCUUUUGUAAGUAGCCAUUUUUUAAAAAUAGGUAAAUCAUGUACAUACUAAAAAUUCAAAAGGAAUAAAAGGAUAGCUUAAAAGGACAUUAUAUACAGGAUAACUUGCAUAAAAAACAGGCUCAAAAACACACUGUAGUGAGCAGAAAGGAGUACUCUUAGUAUAACUUUGGGCUUGGACUGACUUAAUAUAUCCAUCCAAUUCUAUAUCCAUUUCUGAUACUAAACAUCAAAACUAUGAGAAAGAUAGUUUUAAAAUGCCAUUGUCAGGUCACCAGGGUGGCUCAGUCAGUUAAGCAUCUGCCUUGGGCUCAGGGUUCUGGGAUUGAGCCCCACAUGGCUCUCUGCUCAGCAGGGAGUCUGCUUCUCCCUCUCUCUCCCUCUGUGCUCCCCCUCAAAGAAGUAGUAAACAAAAUCUUUUAAAAAAUGUCAUUGUCACUAGAGUAGAAACACAAGGUGUCUGAGAUACAGAGGGAGUAGCUUAAAUAAUGUAUAACAAGUGGGUAAUUUGAGGGACUCUUUACAUACCAAUUCACUAAUUCUGAGAUAUGGAUUGGCUAGUGACAUGUAGAUUUGGCUUAGUUUCUAUUUAUGGAAGGUAAAACCUCUAUAAAAAUUUCCACCAAAACUGCUCUAGUACUAGGAGUAAGGAUAGAAUUCAACAUUAAAAAUUGAAAAUCCACAAUGCUUUGCUUUACAUUCCAGACUAUAAGUUUAUUAAUGAAGAUAAAUAGGAUGCAGUCCUUGCCCUCAAGGGACUAUUUAGUAUAAGAGAUAAAUAUUUAAAACAAAAACUACAUGUAGUACAGAGCCUGUCCUCUACUAUAAAAGAAAUACAGAUGGGGUGCACUGGUAUCUUGAAGGAGAAAUCAACUGUCCUGCGGGGGAAGGGAGCCCUUGGCAAAGCAAGCCACACUGCCUCAAGGUCUAGAAGGAUAAACAUAAAUUCAUUUGGUGGGCAAAGAUGGUACAGAGGAGAGUACCACAAGUAGAUCCAACCAUGAAAACAAAUCAAUACGAAUAGGUGGUAACUAAAUGUAAGGCUAUUGCAUGUUGAUUAAAACACAUUUAUGUAAUUUAAUAUUUUCUAAUAUAAAGCUCAACAAAAGUGUUAUGGAGAGAUACAAAAAAUGGCCUUGAUGUUUUUUUUUUCCCUAAUGAAAGUCUCAUCCCCCCCCCCGAUUAUUAGCAAUUAUUUUUGAGGUACCUGUUGUGUGAUCCUUUGGGGUCCUGCAGUUACAUAGGGGGUGAAGUUUACAGUCUCUGUAAACCAGCUCACAAAGAGGCACCCAGAAUUAGCCAAAACCUUUCACUAUUUAACCAGACGGGAAAUAACCAUUGGCAGGGAUAAAUAACGCCUCACUUAGAGGCGCAGAGACACAGGUACAUGCCAGAUAAAUAUCAUAGCCGGUACUAGUGGAGAAUAAAGCAGGCAUGGCCCUGUCCUCAUGUAGCUCAAGGUUCAGUGGAGAAAGAGAGAAUUGGGUUCAAAUAUUUUAUUUAUCAUAGUUAAAUAUUUGCUAUAUUUAAAUAUCUUAAAUGAGGAAAAAACGGAUGGUGUUCUGGGAAAAGAAGUACAGUCCACUUGAAACUGUUGCUGAAAAAUGAUGUAUUGUACAAUUCAAUUAGUCUUCCUGGCUCUAUUGAGCAGUGUUUAUACUGAGUCAGGGCCCUGCUAAAUUAGGCUAACAAUACUACCUUUUAGUAGGUGAACAGAAGGACAAAGGGCACUGGCCAGUCUCCCAGGCCUGAAAAGGCUUCUCUCUUCAGGUGGUACUUAAGCCCAAAAGGGGGAAAAAAAAAAGUCUUUUACAGAGACAGUAUAAGCAGUGAGACAAAUGGCACAGCAGCUACCGACAGUGUUCAUAAGCUGAAAUUACUAAAAACAAAAACAGAGCUAGUUCAAUAAUGUCUAAGGCACUGCUUCACAAAGUUAUUACCAAGGGUUAAGAAUACAGAGCAUACUGUGACCAUGGCUGCCUGAGUAGGUGAACGAACCCCUGUAACUCUGAGGAAUGGUUUUGGCAGCGUGGUUGAGCACACACUCACUUUUGAGAAUCCACCACUUACAAUGGUAAGGGAAUUUUUGAAAGAACUAAUAAGAAUUUGGCAUAAAAUGCUAUUUUUGCAAAAUCGAAUGCUAUAUCCCCAUUGGUUUCUUAAGUUCUAAAUAACCCUGCAUACUGGUAUAAGGAUUCCAUUUUCAAACUCAACUAUAAUUGGAAAGCUUUUUAAAAACGACAUUAAACAUAUAUAGUUACUUAGGGAAGGAAGCCAAUGAUAUUCUUAGGUGAUAAAGUUUAUGUGAGAGAAAGUUUCUUUCCUGUUAACAGAAAUAUUACAUAAAUUAUACGUGAACACCAAAUAUAUUCCACCUAAGAGCUACUGUCCUAUUUCUUGCCAACCAAAUUAUGAAAACCAUGAAAAAGCCCAAGUGCAUUUUCUGAUAUAUAUAAAAACUCAGCUCAUAGGUGCAGAUGGAUAGGCCCAAUACAUUUUUAAAAAUGGUUUUGGUUGGCAUUCUUUUCCAUGAUCCCGGGAACUCCAUUCACAUUAGAAGCAACUUUUGUAGGGUCAAUAGUUCAUUUUUCAAAUCUACUGACCUUUUAGUAUUUUACUAAAUAAUAUUUAAGGUUUAUUAAUAAUAUAAUUUCUUUCCAUACCUUUUAGCUUAUAAACAGACUAAGUUAUAAGAGCUCAAGUCUGUGACUUUAUUUUAUUGCAAUUUGUGAACUGGUGUCCCCUUCACAGGGCUGUAGUCCACGGGAUUCAGGAGCUGAGCAGGAGAAAGUCGAGGUAGAAAGCAAUUUCUCCACACCUCACACACGAGUUGUUGGAAGAAACAGCAAGUGGGUUAUAAUUAGCUACAAAUUAAUAAUGACCAAAUCUAUAUUUACAUAUGUAUUUAUAAAUAAACAUAGUUGUUAUUUGAGUAGUAACCAUCACUAGUAUAGAUUUAAACAUAAUACAUCUUUUGUUAAGCUGGUGACGGCUACCUCUUAAAAACAGACUUCUCAAAAAUUCAGGUUUACGUAAUUCUGAGAAAGAGGUUCUGGAAUGGUGUCCUGGUAUGCUCCCCCACAAAAAUAGCCCUGGGUAAGACAGCAAUGGAGCAAAGGGAAUGUUUAACCAGAGACAGCAAUUUGGAGAUUGGGGCAGGGGAGGUGGAUAGUCAGGACUUCAGUUAAAACAGAUGAGGGACACCUGGGUGGCUCAGCCUUUGGCUCAGGGCACAAUCCUGAGGUCUCAGGAUCAAGUCCACAUCAGGCUCCUUGCAGGAAGCCUGCUUCUCACUCUGCCUAUGUUUCUGCCUGUCUCUGUCUCUCAUGAAUAAAUUAAAUAUUAAAAAAAAAAAAAAAAACCAGGUGAGAACAGAGUUUUAGAAUAAGAAGAACUGGUACAAGUAUCUAGUUCAGUUUUUCUCAGACUGUGUUCCAAGGAAUACUAGUCCCACAAAAAUGGUGUUCUGAGGUCCACCAAGAAAAAUGCCACAGGCCACAUUCUUCCCUUGGUGAUUCAAAGUGUAGCAUGUUAGCCUACAAAAGCUUAUGGAUAUCCUUGUCUGCCUCACAUGCUUAGGCCAGCAAUUUCCCAAACCUAUCUGACUGCAGACAGGCAGCUAUGUACUGUCGUACGGGAAACUCAGUCUGGGGCCUGUUUAUCAACCGGAGGAAAGGGCUGCUGUCUCCAACUCCUUCCAUCCUCUUGCCAUGCUGUGAGCUCCCAGGGAUGUUUUCUCUUGAGGGGCCCUGUUCCAGUUACAAAGCUGUCCUAGCUGUGGCCCUCCUAUAGAACCCUCUUUUUGAGGAACACCUAUUAACAAGCACAGACCUUGUUAAUGAUCCAUGGAACAUAUUCUGAGAAAUGCUGAAUUAAUAUACUUAGUAGGAAAAAAACCCACUGAAUCCAGAGAGCUUAAAGAUCUCUGGAUACUCUGUUUUGUGCUUUUUAGUAUUAUUUAUAUCACAGUUCUUUUUAUUUUUUAACAACUCUACCAUAAACUCUCUCAUCAUCACCCCUCAAAGAAGGUGAUGCCUGUCCAUGUUCUCUCCUUCCUUUUUCCCAAAUACAAAGCCAAGGCAUUACAAAGGGAGACUAACCGAUGAUAUAAUUUAGUAGUAUGCUGGCCAUUUGAUUUUAACUAUGAAACAAAAAUUAAAGUCCAGGGGCUCCUGGGUGGCUGAGUCAGCUAAGCAUCUUCCUUAGGCUCAGGUCAUGAUCCCAGGGUUCUGGGAUUGAGCCCUGUGUCAGGCUCCCUGCUUCUCCCGCUCCCUCUGUCUGCUGCUCCCCCUGCUUGUGUUCUCUGUCAAAUAAAUAAAAUCUUUAAAAAGAAAGUCCAGUAACACACCAUUUAUCUAGAAGUCACUUAUUUGUGUAUUUGUUUACGGUCUUUCUCCCUCCACUGGAGUACAAGCAUUCAAAAGGCAGAGACUAUAUCUCCACUGCCUAGAACAGUGAGCAUGGUGAGUGUUCAAUUAAUA